RNAcentral lists this ribosomal RNA (200 nucleotides) under uncultured bacterium. Its description in RNAcentral is "partial 16S ribosomal RNA". It matches the Rfam family "Bacterial small subunit ribosomal RNA", at positions 8 to 229 of the family's 1533-position model. The record is from RNAcentral.
AGAGUUUGAUCCUGGCUCAGGACAAACGCUGGCGGCGUGCGUAACACAUGCAAGUCGAACGAGCCGGGAGACCGGCGAGUGGCGGACGGGUGAGGAACACGUGGAUAACCGACCCGGGACUGGGGAAUACCAGGACGAAAGUUCUGUUAAUACCGCAUACGCUGGGGACAGGAAAGCUCUUCGGAGCGGUCGCGGACGGG